RNAcentral lists this ribosomal RNA (253 nucleotides) under uncultured bacterium. Its description in RNAcentral is "partial 16S ribosomal RNA". It matches the Rfam family "Bacterial small subunit ribosomal RNA", at positions 524 to 776 of the family's 1533-position model. The record is from RNAcentral.
UACAGAGGUCUCGAGCGUUGUUCGGAUUCAUUGGGCGUAAAGGGCGCGUAGGCGGCGGGGUAAGUCUGGUGUGAAAUCUCGGAGCUCACCUCCGAAAUUGCACUGGAUACUGCUCUGCUAGAGGGCUGGAGAGGAGAUCGGAAUUCACGGUGUAGCAGUGAAAUGCGUAGAUAUCGUGAGGAAGACCAGUGGCGAAGGCGGAUCUCUGGACAGCUCCUGACGCUGAGGCGCGAAGGCUAGGGGAGCAAACGGG